RNAcentral lists this ribosomal RNA (465 nucleotides) under Vreelandella stevensii. RNAcentral's name for it is "partial 16S ribosomal RNA". It matches the Rfam family "Bacterial small subunit ribosomal RNA", at positions 338 to 795 of the family's 1533-position model. The record is from RNAcentral. Lineage: Bacteria; Pseudomonadati; Pseudomonadota; Gammaproteobacteria; Oceanospirillales; Halomonadaceae.
CCUACGGGAGGCUGCAGUGGGGAAUAUUGGACAAUGGGCGAAAGCCUGAUCCGGCCAUGCCGCGUGUGUGAAGAAGGCCUUCGGGUUGUAAAGCACUUUCAGUGGGGAAGAAAGCCUUGGGGCUAAUACCCUCGAGGAAGGACAUCACCCACAGAAGAAGCACCGGCUAACUCCGUGCCAGCAGCCGCGGUAAUACGGAGGGUGCGAGCGUUAAUCGGAAUUACUGGGCGUAAAGCGCGCGUAGGCGGUCUGAUAAGCCGGUUGUGAAAGCCCCGGGCUCAACCUGGGAACGGCAUCCGGAACUGUCAGGCUAGAGUGCAGGAGAGGAAGGUAGAAUUCCCGGUGUAGCGGUGAAAUGCGUAGAGAUCGGGAGGAAUACCAGUGGCGAAGGCGGCCUUCUGGACUGACACUGACGCUGAGGUGCGAAAGCGUGGGUAGCAAACAGGAUUAGAUACCCUAGUAGUC